Mya arenaria is the source of this 874-nucleotide long non-coding RNA. RefSeq lists it as uncharacterized. The record is from RefSeq and is a predicted model, not a curated record. Lineage: Eukaryota; Metazoa; Mollusca; Bivalvia; Myida; Myidae. The transcript has 3 exons.
UUAUAUUUUUCGUUUGUUUUUCUAUUGCUUUAAACCUUCUUCGGAUAGGCUGUCAUGUUUUCUGCUGCACUCAUUACCACAUAGCGUGGUAAGUGUCAGGUUAAACGGCCCCAACUAACCACUUAUUUUUGUUUGAAAGAGUGGAGCUGCCUGUCGAUCGUUUAUUUUUUGACAAUAUUUAUGCGAAAAACUACAGAAACAAGCUCAGUAGCAAAAAGUUUAAUAAGCCUAGUCAAUGUGCCCUUAAACAGGAAAACAAUUAAAAUUAGGUUAUUGGGCUUGGCAUGUACUUCCAUGUUUAACGGAAUAUGAAAUUGUGACGUUUUAUGAUUAUAUCCAUAGACUGUAACCGAGACGUUGCUUUUCGGGUGGAUUCUUCUGGAAGCGUUGGAUCUGCAAAUUUCAAUACAGCCUUAGGAUUUAUAAAGACGUCGUUGCGGGUUUACCUAUUGGACCUAUGGGCACGUUAACAUCAAUGAUGACUUUCAAUACGACCCCAAAUCUGACAACAAAACAGGAAACUACAAAUGCCCUGGCAAGCGUUCCUUAUCAUUCCGGUGGUACACGCACUGAUCUCGCCUUACAUAGUGCAAGUACACAACUAUUUACACCCGAACACGGCGACAGAACGCAUGCAAAUAACGUCGUCAUUGUUUUGACAGAUGGAAAGUCGAAUAUGCUAAGCGAAACGGUAAAACAGGGCAAAGCUCUACACACAAUUAGUCAUGAUGUCAUCACCGUCUUUGUUGGUACAGAACCUGAUAUGCAUGAGUUGCAGACGAUCGCUACAGACCAACACAACGUUUUCACAUUGCACAAUAUCCCACUCCUUUCUUCGCUGCAAUCCCAGAUUCACCACCUGAUUUGCAAUGGU